This 800-nucleotide ribosomal RNA is filed under the name uncultured Alphaproteobacteria bacterium. RNAcentral describes it as "bacterial SSU rRNA". It matches the Rfam family "Bacterial small subunit ribosomal RNA", at positions 28 to 877 of the family's 1533-position model. Lineage: Bacteria; Pseudomonadati; Pseudomonadota; Alphaproteobacteria. The record is from RNAcentral.
AACGAACGCUGGCGGCAGGCCUAACACAUGCAAGUCGAGCGCACCUUCGGGUGAGCGGCGGACGGGUUAGUAACGCGUGGGAACGUGCCCAGAUCUGCGGAAUAGCCACUGGAAACGGUGAGUAAUACCGCAUACGCCCUUCGGGGGAAAGAUUUAUCGGAUUUGGAUCGGCCCGCGUUAGAUUAGGUAGUUGGUGAGGUAACGGCUCACCAAGCCUACGAUCUAUAGCUGGUUUUAGAGGAUGAUCAGCAACACUGGGACUGAGACACGGCCCAGACUCCUACGGGAGGCAGCAGUGGGGAAUCUUGGACAAUGGGCGCAAGCCUGAUCCAGCCAUGCCGCGUGAGUGAUGAAGGCCUUAGGGUCGUAAAGCUCUUUCGCCAGGGAUGAUAAUGACAGUACCUGGUAAAGAAACCCCGGCUAACUCCGUGCCAGCAGCCGCGGUAAUACGGAGGGGGUUAGCGUUGUUCGGAAUUACUGGGCGUAAAGCGCGCGUAGGCGGACCAGAAAGUUAGGGGUGAAAUCCCGGGGCUCAACCCCGGAACUGCCUCUAAAACUCCUGGUCUAGAGUUCGAGAGAGGUGAGUGGAAUUCCGAGUGUAGAGGUGAAAUUCGUAGAUAUUCGGAGGAACACCAGUGGCGAAGGCGGCUCACUGGCUCGAUACUGACGCUGAGGUGCGAAAGUGUGGGGAGCAAACAGGAUUAGAUACCCUGGUAGUCCACACCGUAAACGAUGAAUGCCAGUCGUCGGGUAGCAUGCUAUUCGGUGACACACCUAACGGAUUAAGCAUUCCGCCUGGG